GAUCAUAGCUCAGGAUGAACGCUAGCGACAGGCCUAACACAUGCAAGUCGAGGGGCAGCGAAGAGGUAGCAAUACCUUUGCCGGCGACCGGCGCACGGGUGAGUAACACGUAUGCAAUCCACCUGUAACAGGGGGAUAACCCGGAGAAAUCCGGACUAAUACCCCAUAAUAUGGGCGCUCCGCAUGGAGAGCCCAUUAAAGAGAGCAAUUUUGGUUACGGACGAGCAUGCGCUCCAUUAG
Molecule: ribosomal RNA, 240 nt
Filed under: uncultured bacterium
Lineage: Bacteria
Description: partial 16S ribosomal RNA
Rfam family: Bacterial small subunit ribosomal RNA
Source: RNAcentral